GUUUAUUCAGAAUUGUUUCAACCAAAUGAGCCCAAUGGAAGUGGUUCCUGUCUCCAUUUGUGGUAUUAUAACAAUACAUGGAAAUUAGACGACACUACAUGCAACUAUGCUCAAAAGUAUUUAUGUUCUGCUUAAGCUGAAAUCGCCGGAAAUGAAGGGUACCUCAUUCAUGAAAUCACUCCGCGAAUAUAUUACUGCAACCGCAUGCCUCGUAAAUAAAUCGUACGUGUAGUUUAGUUUCAUGUCUAAUGUAAAUUUAGUUUAUUAUUAGUGUUAUUGCAUGCUAUAAAACGUGUUGAAUUGCAGGACAAUAAAUAAUCUAAAGCA
This is a long non-coding RNA of Saccoglossus kowalevskii, 327 nucleotides long. Lineage: Eukaryota; Metazoa; Hemichordata; Enteropneusta; Harrimaniidae. The record is from RefSeq and is a predicted model, not a curated record.